Molecule: long non-coding RNA, 240 nt
Organism: Haliotis rubra (blacklip abalone)
Lineage: Eukaryota; Metazoa; Mollusca; Gastropoda; Lepetellida; Haliotidae
Exons: 2
Source: RefSeq, a predicted model, not a curated record
GGUCCUCUGUUUAUAGAGGUGACCACAGUGACAACUGGGCAUGUGUUUGAGAUUCAGGCAGUGUUCGGUCCUCUGUUUAUAGAGGUGACCACAGUGACAACUGGGGUUGUGUUGUGGUGAGGUGUUUUUGGAAGCUGGAAACGUGUUAUUAAUAUCGAAUUGUUUCCACACCUGAAUCAAAGAAGGAAAAUGUAUUGUCUGAGAUUGGAUAAGUAUAUGAAUAUACAAUUUAUUGUAAAA